This 514-nucleotide ribosomal RNA is filed under the name uncultured Microbacterium sp. RNAcentral describes it as "bacterial SSU rRNA". It matches the Rfam family "Bacterial small subunit ribosomal RNA", at positions 873 to 1388 of the family's 1533-position model. Lineage: Bacteria; Bacillati; Actinomycetota; Actinomycetes; Micrococcales; Microbacteriaceae. The record is from RNAcentral.
CCGGGGAGUACGGCCGCAAGGCUAAAACUCAAAGGAAUUGACGGGACCGCACAAGCGGCGGAGCAUGCGGAUUAAUUCGAUGCAACGCGAAGAACCUUACCAAGGCUUGACAUAUACGAGAACGGGCCAGAAAUGGUCAACUCUUUGGACACUCGUAAACAGGUGAUGCAUGGUUGUCGUCAGCUCGUGUCGUGAGAUGUUGGGUUAAGUCCCGCAACGAGCGCAACCCUCGUUCUAUGUUGCCAGCACGUAAUGGUGGGAACUCAUGGGAUACUGCCGGGGUCAACUCGGAGGAAGGUGGGGAUGACGUCAAAUCAUCAUGCCCCUUAUGUCUUGGGCUUCACGCAUGCUACAAUGGCCGGUACAAAGGGCUGCAAUACCGUGAGGUGGAGCGAAUCCCAAAAAGCCGGUCCCAGUUCGGAUUGAGGUCUGCAACUCGACCUCAUGAAGUCGGAGUCGCUAGUAAUCGCAGAUCAGCAACGCUGCGGUGAAUACGUUCCCGGGUCUUGUACAC